Molecule: long non-coding RNA, 1589 nt
Filed under: Homo sapiens (human)
Lineage: Eukaryota; Metazoa; Chordata; Mammalia; Primates; Hominidae
Description: HSALNT0304907
Source: RNAcentral
CUACAAAGUUCUGCAUCUUUAAAAGAGACAGUAUAGGUAAUUCCACCAUGAUGCAUAAAAUGAUCUUUUAGAGACACCAUGAAAGCCCUUGUUCAAGUUUUCUUUGCCCAAGAUGUCUCCCUGUACUCUCAAUACCCCCACCCACACCAUCUGUCUUCCAAGACUUAGUUCAAAGGCCACCUAUUUCAUGGAAGCCUUUGUUUUUUAAUUCAAUUUUUCCUCUUUCCAUCCUCCACCCAAGUCCCAAAUAUGGUCUCUUUUCUGAAUCACCAGUGUUGAAAACUUCCUUUUUCAUGUGUGUUCUUGUCUUAAUUUCCUCAUUUGACAAUAACACUAAUAUGUACAACCUACGCCUUACUCAUCCUUGCAUCUCCCACAGAAACCAGCACAAGGUCUUCUACUUAAGAGAUGAUCAAUAAAUAUUUGUUAAACGAAUUAAAUGAAAGCAACAGUUAGCCUGUUAAAAGGGAUGGUCAUUAUUUUAAAGGCCCUGAGGAAUGGCUUAUAUGUCUAGCACCUAAUCAAAAGCUGGUGGACCACAGAAGGAAGACCAGGGAGUGGAGGGGGCAGCCUUGCGCCUCUGCAUAUCUGCUGCCCCUGUAAACUCACGGAAUGCCCAACUCUUCAAGACUCUACAGAACAAAGCUACAGUGUCGGGUGCUGAAUGAACACCUUCACCUUUUUCUAAGUUCUCCAGUCUUGCUUCAAACCAGAAACUGGAAGUGGAAUUAGAGGUGGAAAUUAGGGCCAUCCUUUUCAACUUUAAGGUAUGGCUGAAAAAGUUGAAACAGCCAUCUGGAUAAUUCAGGCUCAAAAAACCCAUCCUGAAGAGUUCUUUGUCAUGCGUCUUCAAGAUGUGCCCUGGCCAUUCAUGCAAGUUUCAAGGACUCUGAAUCUGUUGAGAAAAAGAGGUUACGUUCCAAUUCUGCUUUAGUUCCAACCCAAAUGCUGAGAAACACUCCAUGGAAUUUAAUUACAGGGCGAUAACUGUGAUCUUACCAAGAUUUAUGAACAGGAAGAUCCUUGGUGAUUGUAGUCAGUCAAAGGGUGGCUUUGACAUAGCACCUAUCUGUUAGGGCAAAUACUGCCAGGGAAAAGGUGACAUUUGGAAUCAUCUGGGAUUGGACUCUUGAUCAAUAGAUGCGAAAUGUCAGGUGGACAUGAGAACUGUUGGUCUUUGGUACAUAUGUGUUGCAAUGAGUAAGGAUGAGUAAUGUGAAGGAAAAGUAGAAUCUUGGGACCCCAAACUCACUAUGCCAAAGGGAAAGUUAAGCGUGGGAGACUGAGUCAGGCAAAAACUGCCUUCCUUUUGUUCCCAAAUAGAUGGCUGUAAUUUCACAUGCUUGCGUUAUGUGAAAUGUGGAUUCAUUGAGUGCUAAUCAGAGCCCCACAAGAAUGAAAGCACUUGCCUUGCUGCCUACCCUCCCUCCUCUUUUUUCUUCCCCUCCUGCUUGCUCUUUUCCCUUUAAAUAAUGAAGUUCCCAAAACCCUCUUUGGAAAAAGCAUAGGUCACAAAUCCUAUUAUAACUUGCAUUUCUUUUUCCUGGGUACAUUCUCAACCUGGGCAAAAUAAACCUCUAAUCAACGAA